UAGGCCCGGCCCGGCCUGUGGUUACCCCUACUUGAGACUGGUCAUACUCACACUUAAGUUAACAUAACACAUACUAACCUUAGCGGAUUGUCAAUGCCCAAUUGGCAAUCCUAUGGCUAGGAACGUUUUAGGAAUGAACAUAAGAUAAAGGUCUCGUUAAUCUAACUUACUUAGAUCACUUCUCUCUUAGAUGAAAUACAUUCCUUGGAUUCCCUUAUUGCUUAAACACAUAAUACAAUAAAUAGUGAUUAACAAUAAGAUUUGCUCGUCAUUAAACAUAUAAUAGUUUAGCACAAUAAGUAUUCCAAAAGCUAUUACAUCAAAUGAGUGGCUUUGUGGGCAUACUUCCAACACAGACUACAUUGUUCAUAUUGAAGAUCUUAACUUAGAAACAGGGCAAAAUAUUGCACAAAUAUUUGUUAUCUUAUUCCUCACAGGUUAAUUUGAGAAUAAGGCAGCCGUCUCAAGUCUGAUAAAUGCACGAAUAAGCUUGGAGCAGAGGAUUCCUCAUGGGUCUAAAUGUUUGCAUUCCUGGUACCAAGUAAGGUGGUACUCCAGCUAUCGUGAUGAGAAUCUUUUGUGGAUGCCAAGUUUAGGAGGUAAUAUUUCUCCGAAUCAAUAUUACCAAGGGGAUUUUUCACUAACAACUCUGUCUCGAGCGUACAAACUUACUCACAUUCUGCUCUGCUGCUUAUUCUAUUCCUUAAGUUUGUUUACUUUGGAAACAUUUAUUGGACUGGGAAUUUCACACAAAGAAGAUGUAUGAUAGAGAAAAAUCUUUAUGCAAGAACAUAUCUAUUAUUCGAAGUCUCAAAGAAAAUUAACUCAGUACAGUAGUUUGGGGAAAACAAUCCCUCACCUUUGGCGAUGAAAUAUUUGAAACAAACUACAUGAGACUCUUGAUCAACGUCAUCGGGUGUUGUUACCAGAUCAAUGAUCUGCUAACCCCACCUAGUUGCAUACCUCGUAUGAUACUACAUUGAAGGCAUAUGUUCUGAUGAAGAUCCGCCACCAUCGUUGACAGUACAUGAAGGAUAUGGAAAAGCGUGGACAAAAAGAAUUCACAAGGAAACCUCAUCAUCUUGAAAUGACUAGACGCCAGUACAUGUAAUGCACAUGGUGUCCAGCGAGAAGAGAAUGGGUGAUGGGGUAUCCCAGUGAGAUUUUAAACAUUCAGGCCACAUGAGUGACAUAUAGGCAAGUGUUUGAACAAAGGACCACCACCAUCACCAUCAACAAGCAUCAACCGAGGCAUAAAGUGGCGAUAGAGGGGCCUUUUUGGAUCUCCAUGCUUUGUGCAGAUCCAACCCUUCCAUAAUACCCAUAUGGAAGACUUACAAAGGGAUGAAUGUUAUAGAACAAGUUGCAAGAAGCGUGGAAAAUUAUAGAGCGAGUUGCAGGGAGAAGGAAACUAUUUUGGAAGUUUAUGGUAAGCAAUGAUAUUUUCUAAGAUUGCAUCCUUUCUCAGCAAAAGACCCAGAAAAGGAUCAGAUUUAGGUAAGGAAGACACAGGCAUCGUGGUAGAAACGAGAAGGGUUUGAAGGAAACUGCUACUUGAUAAGGCUAUUUAAAUGGAAAUUGCUAGGAAAUCUCACCGUUAGAAGCUAAUGGACGCGUAUCUUGAGGAUGAUAUGUUGGAAGUAAGCCCACAAAGCCACUCAUUUGAUGUAAUAGCUUUUGGAAUACUUAUUGUAUUAAACUUUUAUAUGUUUAAUGAAGGGUAAAGCUUAUUGUUAAUCACUAUUUAUUGUAUCAUGUGUUUAAGCAAUAAGGGAAUCCAAGGAAUGUAUUUGAUCUAAGAGAUAAGUGAUUUAAGUAGGUUAGAUUAGAGACCUUUCUCUUAUGUUCAGUCCUAAAACGUUCCUAGCCAUAGGAUUGCCAAUUGGGCAUUGACAAUCCGCUAAGGUUAGUAUGUGUUAUGUCGACUCAAGGGUGAGUAUGAUUAGUCUCAUGUCAUUUAGUGUUUGACACUAAGGCAAACACAUAGGUGCUCGAAAGAGUGAUCGAGUACACUGAACAACGAUCAAAAGAGAGUUC
This 2037-nucleotide long non-coding RNA is filed under the name Malus domestica (apple). Its description in RNAcentral is "long non-coding RNA (MDOM_LNC012918)". The record is from RNAcentral. Lineage: Eukaryota; Viridiplantae; Streptophyta; Magnoliopsida; Rosales; Rosaceae.